UAUUACGGUAAUAGUGAUCUAUAGAUUUAUCACUUGGUUAUGUCAAACCAAUGGUUUAUGCCAGCCUACCCGCUUCGAUUGGUGAAGCAAUCGCCCCGCCUGUUAAAAUGGAUCGGCACCACUAGAGCCGUGUACUCUAAAAUCUAUUAAAAAGUUAAAAUUAACUCAAGUUUUAAGUGUAUUCGACUCGUUAUUAACCUCGCCUUU
Molecule: non-coding RNA, 207 nt
Organism: Cinara cedri
Lineage: Eukaryota; Metazoa; Arthropoda; Insecta; Hemiptera; Aphididae
Source: the annotation of a GenBank genome assembly